RNAcentral lists this ribosomal RNA (965 nucleotides) under Stenotaenia sp. BM-3876. Its description in RNAcentral is "partial 28S ribosomal RNA". It matches the Rfam family "Eukaryotic large subunit ribosomal RNA", at positions 64 to 513 of the family's 3401-position model. Lineage: Eukaryota; Metazoa; Arthropoda; Chilopoda; Geophilomorpha; Geophilidae. The record is from RNAcentral.
ACUAACAAGGAUUCCCCCAGUAACUGCGAGUGAAAAGGGAAAAGCCCAGCGCCGAAGCCGCCGCCCAUCAAAAGGGGCGGAGGGCAAUGUGGCGUUAAGGAAGAGCCUCUUUGACCAGACGUUUCGUUGAUCGGACCGCGGAAGCCCGAGUCCCCCUGACCGGGGCCACAGCCCAAGGCGGGUGCAAGGCCUCUUCGGCUUCGUUCGACGGUUCGGAGGUUGCUGGCUCCUUUCCUCAGAGUCGGGUUGCUUGAAAGUGCAGCUCUAAGCGGGUGGUAAACUCCACCUAAGGCUAAAUAUGACCAUGAGACCGAUAGCGAACAAGUACCGUGAGGGAAAGUUGCAAAGAACUUUGAAGAGAGAGUUCAAGAGUACGUGAAACCGCUCGGAGGCAAACGGGUGGGCCCUCGAAGGUCGAACGGGGGGAUUCAGCCUGUCGGCACGCUCCUUCGUCCGUCCAGUCGAAAAAGGCACUCCGGUGCCGAAACGGAUCCCUUCGGGGACCGGGCUGCGGAUACGUAAGGGCGCCGGCUCGUGCACUUCCCCCUCAGUAGGACGCUGCGACCGGUCGGGUCCAAUAAAGUUUUGCGGCCAUCAGGCGAGAGAAUCGGGGCAGGUGUCCGUUUCCGUCAGGCGCGCGCGGAAUCCGGUUCGUCCGGGGACCGUCGCGUCGCGGUCGGAGUUAUAGCCCCAUCUCGACCCGUGCACCGCCACCCGACCGACAAAUGGUCACGAAUCCGUUGACGCGUGCCCGCGUAAUUUUAAACAAAAUGCGCUCGCCCUAGUCCCGGGCAGGCAGGACGCGCGAGUACAAAGUUCCUUUUCUCCCGGAAACGGGGAGGGAAUCCGUCGGACGCCGGUACAAAAAACCAUAAAGGCGACCGGCGGCUCCGCGUCCGCCGCUGGCUCACGGGGAAUCGCGUUCUGGCGUGGAGGCACGUUCGCUCACGGUCGGCAGCGAGUAG